AAAAAUAUGGCGACUAAGAAACACUUGAUGUCAACAAGAUUUUCUGAUUGACAAGAGAAAAGGUCAAACAGGAACUUCAGUUGUGAACAUUGCAGAGAACACACCCAUCAGAAGAUGACCCUCAGAAAUAGGACAAUUAAUGAAUAAAAUGGACAGAGGCAGAACUGAAGGAGAUGCAUGAAAUGAGGAAUAUUUCAAAGAUUGCCUGAGCAUAACCACUGCUACUGGAUAAACAUAUGGCAAUAUAAAAGAGCAGGG
Molecule: long non-coding RNA, 258 nt
Organism: Saccostrea cuccullata (small rock oyster)
Lineage: Eukaryota; Metazoa; Mollusca; Bivalvia; Ostreida; Ostreidae
Exons: 3
Source: RefSeq, a predicted model, not a curated record